AGCUCCAAUAGCGUAUAUUAAAGUUGUUGCAGUUAAAAAGCUCGUAGUUGGAGUUCAGAGUGAGCUCGUCCGGUCGGCCUAAUGGGUCAGAACUGGUUGACUCUCUCUUGUUUGUGGAUCCUGCCAGCAGUUAACUCUGUUGGUGUGGAGUCCACAUCGUUUACCUUGAAAAAAUUAGAGUGUUCAAAGCAGGCGUUUGCUUGAAUAUAUUAGCAUGGAAUAAUGGAAUAGGACGCUGGUUCUAUUUUGUUGGUUUUGAGAACCAGAGUAAUGAUUAAUAGGGACAGUUGGGGGCAUUCAUAUUUCAUUGUCAGAGGUGAAAUUCUUGGAUUUAUGAAAGAUGAACUUCUGCGAAAGCAUUUGCCAAGGAUGUUUUCA
This 378-nucleotide ribosomal RNA is filed under the name uncultured eukaryote. RNAcentral's name for it is "SSU rRNA". It matches the Rfam family "Eukaryotic small subunit ribosomal RNA", at positions 587 to 972 of the family's 1831-position model. The record is from RNAcentral.